RNAcentral lists this ribosomal RNA (207 nucleotides) under uncultured bacterium. Its description in RNAcentral is "partial 16S ribosomal RNA". It matches the Rfam family "Bacterial small subunit ribosomal RNA", at positions 568 to 774 of the family's 1533-position model. The record is from RNAcentral.
CUCGUAGGCGGCCAACUAAGUCCGACGUGAAAUCCCAAAGCUUAACUUUGGAACUGCGUCGGAUACUGGAUGGCUUGAAUUCGGGAGAGGGAUGCAGAAUUCCAGGUGUAGCGGUGAAAUGCGUAGAUAUCUGAAGGAAUACCGGUGGCGAAGGCGGCAUCCUGGACCGACAUUGACGCUGAUGAGCGAAAGCUAGGGGAGCAAACG